GAACUGCAGUUUGUCAAAGAUCAGCUGUGCUGCUCUGGUCACAGCUCUGAAGUCCAAAAUGUCCCACCUGACAGAACUGAAUCUGAGAGGGAACAACCUGCAGUAUGGAGAUAUUCAGCAGCUCCAGGAUCUGGUGGAGAGCCCAAACUCCAAACUGCAGACUCUGAGGUGGGAAGGAAGGGGCUGCCGAGACUGAUGUUGCCCCUUUAGGAGCAAAGAUGAACAUGAGAGGCAGUUGGUCUGCAGAUAUGUUGUUACUGAAUAGUCUGAACGAGCCGGCCUGCUGUUUGGAUCUUCAGACAUUUUCAAAGAUGACUACCAGCAGCCUGAAUAGAACAAGACUCAAGCCAAACUCCACAAAAUCACGACUCUCAUAAUCAAAUGUCUUCAAACUGUUCUAAGAAGAAAAGGAAAAGGAAAGAAGGAAAAAGGAACGGUAACUAGGCUCUACUUUGAGACCUGAAAAAAAAUCCUCAUCUGAGAUCAGUUAGUGUACUAAAGUUUGUCAGUUGUAUCAUUUUUAUAUAAUAUCUGUUCUUUUAAUAAAAUAUUUUCUCAUGCAGUUUGAAAGACUCAGAGUUUAGGUUUGAUUGAGGUUUUCUACAGUUUUAUGAUUAAACUUCCUUUUUCUUUGUUGUUUAGUGGGUAAAGUUUUUUUCCAUGCUGACAUCAUUUUAGCUGCAGUUUUUAAACACAUUUCAUCCAACUUUCUGAGCAUAAAUCCUGUUUUCUCCAGAGGACAUGAAUGAACAGAGUGGAUGUUAGUGAGGAAUUACAGAGAAUCACUUUGAUGCAGCUGCUGCAACAACACUAACUGCAUUGAAGCAGGAGGGAGAAGGGAGACACCUGCUGGCUGUUUUCAGAACUGCAUCUUAGUGUCUAAAGGUUCAAACUGAAAGCUGUCUGUCAAAUUCCUGCAGCCUGUUUGGAUCUAAUAAAUGCUCUUUUGAAUCAA
Molecule: long non-coding RNA, 955 nt
Organism: Oryzias melastigma (Indian medaka)
Lineage: Eukaryota; Metazoa; Chordata; Actinopteri; Beloniformes; Adrianichthyidae
Exons: 2
Source: RefSeq, a predicted model, not a curated record